RNAcentral lists this ribosomal RNA (524 nucleotides) under uncultured bacterium. RNAcentral describes it as "bacterial SSU rRNA". It matches the Rfam family "Bacterial small subunit ribosomal RNA", at positions 390 to 916 of the family's 1533-position model. The record is from RNAcentral.
AGCCAUGCCGCGUGCAGGAAGACGGUCCUAUGGAUUGUAAACUGCUUUUGUACAGGAAGAAACACUGGUUCGUGAACCAGCUUGACGGUACUGUAAGAAUAAGGAUCGGCUAACUCCGUGCCAGCAGCCGCGGUAAUACGGAGGAUCCAAGCGUUAUCCGGAAUCAUUGGGUUUAAAGGGUCCGUAGGCGGCCUUAUAAGUCAGUGGUGAAAUCUUCUAGCUCAACUAGAAAAUGGCCAUUGAUACUGUAGGGCUUGAAUUAUUGUGAAGUAACUAGAAUAUGUAGUGUAGCGGUGAAAUGCUUAGAUAUUACAUGGAAUACCAAUUGCGAAGGCAGGUUACUAACAAUACAUUGACGCUGAUGGACGAAAGCGUGGGGAGCGAACAGGAUUAGAUACCCUGGUAGUCCACGCCGUAAACGAUGGAUACUAGCUGUUUGGAGUAAUCUGAGUGGCUAAGCGAAAGUGAUAAGUAUCCCACCUGGGGAGUACGAACGCAAGUUUGAAACUCAAAGGAAUUGACGG